Molecule: ribosomal RNA, 506 nt
Filed under: uncultured bacterium
Lineage: Bacteria
Description: bacterial SSU rRNA
Rfam family: Bacterial small subunit ribosomal RNA
Source: RNAcentral
UCGGGAAUCUUGGGCAAUGGGCGAAAGCCUGACCCANCGACGCCGCGUGGAGGACGAAGCCCUUCGGGGUGUAAACUCCUUUUGCCAGGGACGACUUCGGACGGUACCUGGUGAAUAAGCCCCGGCUAACUACGUGCCAGCAGCCGCGGUAAUACGUAGGGGGCGAGCGUUGCCCGGAUUUACUGGGCGUAAAGCGCACGUAGGCGGCUCCGUAAGUCUGGUGUGAAAUCUCCCGGCUCAACCGGGAGGCUGCACUGGAUACUACGGGGCUNGAGGGCAGGAGAGGAGAUUGGAAUUCCCGGUGUAGCGGUGAAAUGCAUUGAUAUCGGGAGGAACACCAGUGGCGAAGGCGGAUCUCUGGCCUGCUUCUGACGCUGAGGUGCGAAAGCUGGGGGAGCNAAAGGGAUUAGAUACCCCUGUAGUCCCAGCCCUAAACGAUAGGCGCUANGUGUUGGGGGCGAAGCCCUCAGUGCCGCAGCUAACGCAUUAAGCGCCCCGCCUGGGGA